GAUUCACUAGCUCAGUUGGUAGAGCACAUCCCUUUUAAGGAUGGGGUCCUGGGUUCGAACCCCAGGUGGAUCAC
Molecule: transfer RNA, 74 nt
Filed under: Bacteroidales bacterium
Lineage: Bacteria; Pseudomonadati; Bacteroidota; Bacteroidia; Bacteroidales
Description: tRNA-Lys
Rfam family: tRNA
About the family: Transfer RNA (tRNA) molecules are approximately 80 nucleotides in length. Their secondary structure includes four short double-helical elements and three loops (D, anti-codon, and T loops).
Source: RNAcentral